GAUGAACGCUGGCGGCGUGCUUAACACAUGCAAGUCGAACGGAAAGGCCCAAGCUUGCUUGGGUACUCGAGUGGCGAACGGGUGAGUAACACGUGGGUGAUCUGCCCUGCACUUCGGGAUAAGCCUGGGAAACUGGGUCUAAUACCGGAUAGGACCACAUUUUGGAUGGUGUGGUGGAAAGUUUUUCGGUGUGGGAUGAGCUCGCGACCUAUCAGCUUGUUGGUGGGGUAAUGGCCUACCAAGGCGUCGACGGGUAGCCGGCCUGAGAGGGUGUACGGCCACAUUGGGACUGAGAUACGGCCCAGACUCCUACGGGAGGCAGCAGUGGGGAAUAUUGCACAAUGGGCGCAAGCCUGAUGCAGCGACGCCGCGUGGGGGAUGACGGCCUUCGGGUUGUAAACUCCUUUCGCUAGGGACGAAGCGCAAGUGACGGUACCUGGAGAAGAAGCACCGGCUAACUACGUG
RNAcentral lists this ribosomal RNA (465 nucleotides) under uncultured bacterium. Its description in RNAcentral is "partial 16S ribosomal RNA". It matches the Rfam family "Bacterial small subunit ribosomal RNA", at positions 28 to 507 of the family's 1533-position model. The record is from RNAcentral.